AUAAAGACUGUGAAGAGGACUAGUAAGCCUCGUGCUGGCAGCCCAGAGAGCGGGGGCAGGUGUGAGCCCCGUCUGCACAACGAAGUUGAAUGGACCUCGGAGUCGCGAGACGAACGUGAAUACCAGUAGUCUACGCCGGAGUUGCCACCGUUAUCACGGCAAAGGGUAUAAGCCGUUACACCCCGGGUUAUGGGCCGGUAACGACCGUACCCGAUACGAGUGAGGCUGGCCUCAUAAACCCGCUGCAUCGCCAGCGGGUUUUGUACUCUGGCAGCCUAACCGGGGUGGCACCACGGACUGAGCGCGUUCGUCCCCAUG
RNAcentral lists this non-coding RNA (318 nucleotides) under Chloroflexota bacterium. RNAcentral describes it as "Chloroflexi bacterium T-box sequence". It matches the Rfam family "T-box leader". From Rfam's summary of the family: Uncharged tRNA acts as the effector for transcription antitermination of genes in the T-box leader family. T-boxes are found upstream of many aminoacyl-tRNA synthetase genes and some amino acid biosynthetic genes usually in Gram-positive bacteria. The anticodon of a specific tRNA base pairs to a specifier sequence within the T-box motif, and the NCCA acceptor tail of the tRNA base pairs to a conserved bulge in the T-box antiterminator hairpin. The record is from RNAcentral. Lineage: Bacteria; Bacillati; Chloroflexota.